UACGGAGGGGGCUAGCGUUGUUCGGAAUUACUGGGCGUAAAGCGCACGUAGGCGGCUUUGUAAGUUAGAGGUGAAAGCCCGGAGCUCAACUCCGGAAUUGCCUUUAAGACUGCAUCGCUUGAAUCAUGGAGAGGUGAGUGGAAUUCCGAGUGUAGGGGUGAAAUUCGUAGAUAUUCGGAAGAACACCAGUGGCGAAGGCGACUCACUGGACAUGUAUUGACGCUGAGGUGCGAAAGCGUGGGGAGCAAACAGG
Molecule: ribosomal RNA, 253 nt
Filed under: uncultured bacterium
Lineage: Bacteria
Description: partial 16S ribosomal RNA
Rfam family: Bacterial small subunit ribosomal RNA
Source: RNAcentral